RNAcentral lists this ribosomal RNA (1083 nucleotides) under Salmonella enterica. Its description in RNAcentral is "partial 23S ribosomal RNA". It matches the Rfam family "Bacterial large subunit ribosomal RNA", at positions 711 to 1784 of the family's 2925-position model. Lineage: Bacteria; Pseudomonadati; Pseudomonadota; Gammaproteobacteria; Enterobacterales; Enterobacteriaceae. The record is from RNAcentral.
AGACCCGAAACCCGGUGAUCUAGCCAUGGGCAGGUUGAAGGUUGGGUAACACUAACUGGAGGACCGAACCGACUAAUGUUGAAAAAUUAGCGGAUGACCUGUGGCUGGGGGUGAAAGGCCAAUCAAACCGGGAGAUAGCUGGUUCUCCCCGAAAGCUAUUUAGGUAGCGCCUCGUGAAUUCAUCUCCGGGGGUAGAGCACUGUUUCGGCUAGGGGGCCAUCCCGGCUUACCAACCCGAUGCAAACUGCGAAUACCGGAGAAUGUUAUCACGGGAGACACACGGCGGGUGCUAACGUCCGUCGUGAAGAGGGAAACAACCCAGACCGCCAGCUAAGGUCCCAAAGUCAUGGUUAAGUGGGAAACGAUGUGGGAAGGCCCAGACAGCCAGGAUGUUGGCUUAGAAGCAGCCAUCAUUUAAAGAAAGCGUAAUAGCUCACUGGUCGAGUCGGCCUGCGCGGAAGAUGUAACGGGGCUAAACCAUGCACCGAAGCUGCGGCAGCGACACUCAGGUGUUGUUGGGUAGGGGAGCGUUCUGUAAGCCUGCGAAGGUGGCCUGUGAGGGUUGCUGGAGGUAUCAGAAGUGCGAAUGCUGACAUAAGUAACGAUAAAGCGGGUGAAAAGCCCGCUCGCCGGAAGACCAAGGGUUCCUGUCCAACGUUAAUCGGGGCAGGGUGAGUCGACCCCUAAGGCGAGGCCGAAAGGCGUAGUCGAUGGGAAACGGGUUAAUAUUCCCGUACUUGGUGUUACUGCGAAGGGGGGACGGAGAAGGCUAUGUUGGCCGGGCGACGGUUGUCCCGGUUUAAGCGUGUAGGUGUGUGUUCCAGGUAAAUCCGGUUCACUUUAACACUGAGGCGUGAUGACGAGGCACUACGGUGCUGAAGCAACAAAUGCCCUGCUUCCAGGAAAAGCCUCUAAGCAUCAGGUAACAUCAAAUCGUACCCCAAACCGACACAGGUGGUCAGGUAGAGAAUACCAAGGCGCUUGAGAGAACUCGGGUGAAGGAACUAGGCAAAAUGGUGCCGUAACUUCGGGAGAAGGCACGCUGACAUGUAGGUGAAGUGAUUUACUCAUGGAGCUGAAGUC